UGUGCUGUUCAUCUGAAGAUGCCCUGCUCGACCAUUUUAUAAGGAAGCAUUCAUCGUGGAAAGUUGAUAGGCCUGACACACUUUACAAUCAGGAAGAUGGAAUCAACGUGCCAUCCAACAUCCAUUGCCACCGAGACACUGAAGAGACGCCCCAACAAGAUGACAACGCCGCAAAUGAAGAUCAAGUCAAUGUGCCAUCCCACUUCUUUUUCCAACGAGACACUGACGAGACGCCCCAACAAUAUGUAGACACUUCACAGCUUCUUCUUAUUCUUUCAAAUGACGUUGAACUUAACCCUGUACCGACUUUCAGUUGCAAGUGAACAUCAUGCUUCAAGAAAUUUAUUGAUUAUGGUGAACUUAGUGCCCAUAUAGUAUGUCACAUAGAGGGAACAAAUAGAUGCCAAUGGGAAGACUGCCAUGAAUGUUUUUCAGCUGUAAGAAGAUUUGAGCUGCAUCUUUUGAGACAUUUGUAUGAUAACAGCGAGAUAUUCAAAACAAUCGAUGAAUGGAAAAACACGCUACCUGAUGGGGAGAUCAAUGAACAGACAACAGAUCUGAAUAUGUGUCCGCUUCAUCUAAGGUCCAAACUGAUGCUGCUCUUAUUUGAUGAAGAUUUCUCCAUUCCAACGGGUUAUUAAACAAUAGAGGAACACUACAAAUACAUGGAAUUGCUAAGUAUACGUCUUCCUUCUGAUUAUGAAAAAAUUAAAAAUAACUUCUUACUUAAAAGAAAAUAUUUAGGUGAAAACUGGCAAAAUGAUGAUGGAAAGUGUCCAACUGUACAGUUUAAUACUGCUGCUGACUAUAUUCCUACUCCUAAAGAUAUAUAUACUGUAGCUAGUUAUAAUGAAAAUAAUGUGUUUGUCUCUACAUCUAGACCAGAGUUGUGCAAUACAUACU
Dreissena polymorpha is the source of this 903-nucleotide long non-coding RNA. RefSeq lists it as uncharacterized. The record is from RefSeq and is a predicted model, not a curated record. The transcript is spliced from 5 exons. NCBI's taxonomy places the organism in Eukaryota, Metazoa, Mollusca, Bivalvia, Myida, Dreissenidae.